RNAcentral lists this ribosomal RNA (497 nucleotides) under uncultured bacterium. RNAcentral's name for it is "partial 16S ribosomal RNA". It matches the Rfam family "Bacterial small subunit ribosomal RNA", at positions 28 to 507 of the family's 1533-position model. The record is from RNAcentral.
GAUGAACGCUGGCGGCGUGCCUAAUACAUGCAAGUCGAGCGAACGGACGAGAAGCUUGCUUCUCUGAUGUUAGCGGCGGACGGGUGAGUAACACGUGGAUAACCUACCUAUAAGACUGGGAUAACUUCGGAAAACCGGAGAUAAUACCGGAUAAUAUUUUGAACCGCAUGGUUCAAAAGUUAAAGACGGUCUUGCUGUCACUUAUAGAUGGAUCCGCGCUGCAUUAGCUAGUUGGUAAGGUAGCGGCUUACCAAGGCAACGAUGCAUAGCCGACCUGAGAGGGUGAUCAGCCACACUGGAACUGAGACACGGUCCAGACUCCUACGGGAGGCAGCAGUGGGGAAUCUUCCGCAAUGGGCGCAAGCCUGACGGAGCAACGCCGCGUGAGUGAUGAAGGUCUUCGGAUCGUAAAACUCUGUUAUUAGGGAAGAACAUAUGUGUAAGUAACUGUGCACAUCUUGACGGUACCUAAUCAGAAAGCCACGGCUAACUACGUG